AUACUUACCUGGCAGGGGAGAUACCAUGAUCAUGAAGGUGGUUUUCCCAGGGCAAGGCUUAUCCAUUGCACUCCGGAUGUGCUGACCCCUGUGAUUUCCCCAAAUGUGGGAAACUCGACUGCAUAAUUUGUGGUAGUGGGGGACGGAGUUCGUGCUUUCCCCUA
This 164-nucleotide small nuclear RNA is filed under the name Lynx canadensis (Canada lynx). Its description in RNAcentral is "U1 spliceosomal RNA (ENSLCNG00005011434.1)". It matches the Rfam family "U1 spliceosomal RNA". From Rfam's summary of the family: U1 is a small nuclear RNA (snRNA) component of the spliceosome (involved in pre-mRNA splicing). Its 5' end forms complementary base pairs with the 5' splice junction, thus defining the 5' donor site of an intron. There are significant differences in sequence and secondary structure between metazoan and yeast U1 snRNAs, the latter being much longer (568 nucleotides as compared to 164 nucleotides in human). The record is from Rfam by way of RNAcentral. Lineage: Eukaryota; Metazoa; Chordata; Mammalia; Carnivora; Felidae.